This 440-nucleotide long non-coding RNA is filed under the name Setaria italica (foxtail millet). RNAcentral's name for it is "long non-coding RNA (SITA_LNC001322)". Lineage: Eukaryota; Viridiplantae; Streptophyta; Magnoliopsida; Poales; Poaceae. The record is from RNAcentral.
CGCGCCCGUCGGUGGAGGAAGCAACGGAGCCGGAAGCGGCCGCCGCCACCGCCGAGCCCUUCCGCUUCCCAUUUGUCGUUGCGCCGGUCUGCUCGCCCGACACCACCGCCGGGCCCGUCGGUUCCAGCGAUGCUGCCGCAUCUGCCAAGCCUUGAAUAACUUUCGCGUCCUGCAUCUAACAGAGGAGGAGAAGAGAUGGUGGCGGAUGAGGGAAGAUGGUGACAAGGUUGGAGAUUUCGCGCGCUCUCAGUACCAAUUUUGCCGCCACCACAACUGAUUUCGCGCGCACCACAAUCGAUCCGGAGGAGGAGGCGUCGGCGACGACGAGGACGUACAACGGCAUUGGCGCUAGCAGUUUGGCCUGGGAGCACGAGCCAGUGCCGUCGUCUAGCGAGACGACGGCGAGCUUCUUUCUCAUCAUUAAACACGGCACACGUCGG